UUUCAGUGGCAUUUAAAUCCCCGGCGCUCCUCAGUGUAGGUGACGCGCGCUCGCCCCCCCAGGCAGCCCGGGCCGCGGCGGUAGCUACGGCCGCUGCCGGAGCUGACUUGGAGCACUGGGACUAAAGGGAACCGAGACUGACUUCUGCGCGCGCCCGGCUCUGCGCGCCUCCGCCUCCAGAAGUGGGGGGGAUGGGAGGCACCCUCCGCGGCCCCUUCCCCACCCAGCCGAGAGAACUGAACUGGCAAGAGGUCUGUUUUUCCUGAACCCAUCCACAGCUGGGAGAUUAAUCAACCACACUGAAAAUGGGGGGAGGGGAAGGAAGAGUUGGACUGUAGAUGUUUGAAACAAACAUAUGUAUAAAUAAAUGAAUUUUUGAUAACUGGUAGCUUGGUAAGGGAAUGCCACUUUACGCAUCCUAGAGUUCGAAGUUUCUGUAGGCACUUUACUUCUCCACUUUCAAAAGCUUGGGCGAGGGCCAAUUCAGGCUGCCCAAGCCUCUUUCUAUCACUAAUUUAACUCUAUGGCUUGAGUCUCAACACUGAAAACCAAUCCAUUCCCUUAGGGGGAUUAAAAAAGCAAAAAAAAAAAAA
Long non-coding RNA from Rattus rattus (black rat), 593 nucleotides. RefSeq lists it as uncharacterized. The transcript has 2 exons. The record is from RefSeq and is a predicted model, not a curated record. NCBI's taxonomy places the organism in Eukaryota, Metazoa, Chordata, Mammalia, Rodentia, Muridae.